AACGCUGGCGGCGUGCUUAACACAUGCAAGUCGAACGGUGAACACGGAGCUUGCUCUGUGGGAUCAGUGGCGAACGGGUGAGUAACACGUGAGCAACCUGCCCCUGACUCUGGGAUAAGCGCUGGAAACGGCGUCUAAUACUGGAUACGAGUAGCGACCGCAUGGUCAGUUACUGGAAAGAUUUAUUGGUUGGGGAUGGGCUCGCGGCCUAUCAGCUUGUUGGUGAGGUAAUGGCUCACCAAGGCGUCGACGGGUAGCCGGCCUGAGAGGGUGACCGGCCACACUGGGACUGAGACACGGCCCAGACUCCUACGGGAGGCAGCAGUGGGGAAUAUUGCACAAUGGGCGCAAGCCUGAUGCAGCAACGCCGCGUGAGGGAUGACGGCCUUCGGGUUGUAAACCUCUUUUAGCAGGGAAGAAGCGAAAGUGACGGUACCUGCAGAAAAAGCGCCGGCUAACUACGUGCCAGCAGCCGCGGUAAUACGUAGGGCGCAAGCGUUAUCCGGAAUUAUUGGGCGUAAAGAGCUCGUAGGCGGUUUGUCGCGUCUGCUGUGAAAUCCGGAGGCUCAACCUCCGGCCUGCAGUGGGUACGGGCAGACUAGAGUGCGGUAGGGGAGAUUGGAAUUCCUGGUGUAGCGGUGGAAUGCGCAGAUAUCAGGAGGAACACCGAUGGCGAAGGCAGAUCUCUGGGCCGUUACUGACGCUGAGGAGCGAAAGGGUGGGGAGCAAACAGGCUUAGAUACCCUGGUAGUCCACCCCGUAAACGUUGGGAACUAGUUGUGGGGUCCAUUCCACGGAUUCCGUGACGCAGCUAACGCAUUAAGUUCCCCGCCUGGGGAGUACGGCCGCAAGGCUAAAACUC
This 862-nucleotide ribosomal RNA is filed under the name Microbacterium foliorum. Its description in RNAcentral is "bacterial SSU rRNA". It matches the Rfam family "Bacterial small subunit ribosomal RNA", at positions 32 to 902 of the family's 1533-position model. The record is from RNAcentral. Lineage: Bacteria; Bacillati; Actinomycetota; Actinomycetes; Micrococcales; Microbacteriaceae.